AUUGAACGCUGGCGGAAUGCUUUACACAUGCAAGCCGAACGGCAGCACGGACUUCGGUCUGGUGGCGAGUGGCGAACGGGUGAGUAAUGUAUCGGAACGUGCCCAGUCGUGGGGGAUAACGUAGUGAAAAUUACGCUAAUACCGCAUACGAUCUAUGGAUGAAAGCGGGGGAUCGCAAGACCUCGCGCGAUUGGAGCGGCCGAUAUCAGAUUAGGUAGUUGGUGGGGUAAAGGCCCACCAAGCCAACGAUCUGUAGCUGGUCCGAGAGGACGACCAGCCACACUGGAACUGAGGCAGGGACCAGACUCCUAGGGUAGGCAGCAGUGGGGAAUUUUGGACAAUGGGCGAAAGCCUGAUCCAGCCAUUCCGCGUGCAGUAUGAGGGCCCUCGGGUUGGAAACUGCUUUUGUACAGAACGAAAAGGUUUCUACUAAUACUUGGAGCUCAUGACGGUACUGUAAGAAUAAGCACCGGCUAACUACGUGCCAGCCGCCGCGGUAA
Molecule: ribosomal RNA, 500 nt
Filed under: uncultured bacterium
Lineage: Bacteria
Description: partial 16S ribosomal RNA
Rfam family: Bacterial small subunit ribosomal RNA
Source: RNAcentral